RNAcentral lists this ribosomal RNA (432 nucleotides) under uncultured bacterium. RNAcentral's name for it is "bacterial SSU rRNA". It matches the Rfam family "Bacterial small subunit ribosomal RNA", at positions 355 to 796 of the family's 1533-position model. The record is from RNAcentral.
UCGAGAAUCUUCGGCAAUGGGCGCAAGCCUGACCGAGCGACGCCGCGUGGAGGAUGAAGGCCUUCGGGUUGUAAACUCCUGUCGAGGGGGAGGAAGGCGCAAGCUUGACCGAUCCCUGGAGGAAGCACGGGCUAAGUUCGUGCCAGCAGCCGCGGUAAGACGAACCGUGCGAACGUUAUUCGGAAUCACUGGGCUUAAAGCGCGUGUAGGCGGAUUGGCGCAUCGAUUGCUGAAAGCCCCCGGCUCAACCGGGGAACGGGCGUCGAGAUGGCCAGUCUGGAGGGGGGUAGGGGGACCUGGAACUUCCGGUGGAGCGGUGAAAUGCGUUGAGAUCGGAAGGAACGCCCGUGGCGAAAGCGAGGUCCUGGACCCUUUCUGACGCUGAGACGCGAAAGCCAGGGGAGCAAACGGGAUUAGAUACCCGCGUAGUCC